GUGGCUAUGGUGUAGCGGUAGCACGCGAGCUUGUGGAGCUCUCUGUCUGGGUUCGACUCCCAGUAGCCACC
RNAcentral lists this transfer RNA (71 nucleotides) under Parcubacteria bacterium C7867-003. RNAcentral's name for it is "tRNA-His". It matches the Rfam family "tRNA". Rfam says of the family: Transfer RNA (tRNA) molecules are approximately 80 nucleotides in length. Lineage: Bacteria; Candidatus Parcubacteria. The record is from RNAcentral. RNAcentral also lists the same sequence under 1 other name.